RNAcentral lists this ribosomal RNA (194 nucleotides) under uncultured bacterium. Its description in RNAcentral is "partial 16S ribosomal RNA". It matches the Rfam family "Bacterial small subunit ribosomal RNA", at positions 338 to 524 of the family's 1533-position model. The record is from RNAcentral.
CCUACGGGAGGCAGCAGUGGGGAAUUUUGGACAAUGGGCGAAAGCCUGAUCCAGCAAUGCCGCGUGUGUGAAGAAGGCCUUCGGGUUGUAAAGCACUUUUGUCCGGAAAGAAAUCCUUGGCUCUAAUACAGCCGGGGGAUGACGGUACCGGAAGAAUAAGCACCGGCUAACUACGUGCCAGCAGCCGCGGUAAU